UAUGAUGUGCUUCUAUGUAGCCUGCUGCUUUGUGUAGGUGGAAGGAAGAACGGGCCGUUAUCUGUGUCAGAUUUCUCUGAUCAUUGUUCAAUUGUAAAAAAAGAAAAAUCAAUACCCAAUGCCUGCUACCUGCCUGGUAUUCUACUGACUACAGUGUCCCAGGUUCUCUACAUUCUACUGACUUCAGUGUCCCAGGUUCUCUACAUUCUACUGACUUCAGUGUCCCAGGUUCUCUACAUUCUACUGACUUCAGUGUCCCAGGUUCUCUACAUUCUACUGACUUCAGUGUCCCAGGUUCUCUACAUUCUACUGACUUCAGUGUCCCAGGUUCUCUACAUUCUACUGACUUCAGUGUCCCGGGUUCUCUACAUUCUACUGACUUCAGUGUCCCAGGUUCUCUACAUUCUACUGACUUCAGUGUCCCAGGUUCUCUACAUUCUACUGACUUCAGUGUCCCAGGUUCUCUACAUUCUACUGACUUCAGUGUCCCAGGUUCUCUACAUUCUACUGACUUCAGUGUCCCAGGUUCUCUACAUUCUACUGACUUCAGUGUCCCAGGUUCUCUACAUUCUACUGACUUCAGUGUCCCAGGUUCUCUACAUUCUACUGACUUCAGUGUCCCAGGUUCUCUACAUUCUACUGACUUCAGUGUCCCAGGUUCUCUACAUUCUACUGACUUCAGUGUCCCAGGUUCUCUACAUUCUACUGACUUCAGUGUCCCAGGUUCUCUACAUUCUACUGACUUCAGUGUCCCAGGUUCUCUACAUUCUACUGACUUCAGUGUCCCAGGUUCUCUACAUUCU
Molecule: long non-coding RNA, 803 nt
Organism: Oncorhynchus keta (chum salmon)
Lineage: Eukaryota; Metazoa; Chordata; Actinopteri; Salmoniformes; Salmonidae
Exons: 5
Source: RefSeq, a predicted model, not a curated record